CACGUAGGGCGCAAGCGUUUGUCCGGAAUUAUUGGGCGUAAAGAGCUCGUAGGCGGUCUGUUGCGUCCGCUGUGAAAACUCGGGGCUUAACCCCGGGCGUGCAGUGGAUACGGGCUGGCUGGAGGCAGGCAGGGGAGAACGGAAUUCCCGGUGUAGCGGUGAAAUGCGUUGAGAUCGGAAGGAACGCCCGUGGCGAAAGCGAGGUCUGGACGUUUUCUGACGCUGAGACGCGAAAGCCAGGGGAGCGAACGGGG
This 254-nucleotide ribosomal RNA is filed under the name uncultured bacterium. RNAcentral's name for it is "partial 16S ribosomal RNA". It matches the Rfam family "Bacterial small subunit ribosomal RNA", at positions 524 to 777 of the family's 1533-position model. The record is from RNAcentral.